RNAcentral lists this ribosomal RNA (484 nucleotides) under uncultured bacterium. RNAcentral's name for it is "partial 16S ribosomal RNA". It matches the Rfam family "Bacterial small subunit ribosomal RNA", at positions 30 to 507 of the family's 1533-position model. The record is from RNAcentral.
AUUGAACGCUGGCGGCAUGCCUUACACAUGCAAGUCGAACGGCAGCACGGACUUCGGUCUGGUGGCGAGUGGCGAACGGGUGAGUAAUGUAUCGGAACGUACCUUUCAGUGGGGAAUAACGUAGCGAAAGUUACGCUAAUACCGCAUAUUCUGUGAGCAGGAAAGCAGGGGAUCGAAAGACCUUGCGCUGAUUGAGCGGCCGAUAUCAGAUUAGCUAGUUGGUGGGGUAAAGGCCUACCAAGGCGACGAUCUGUAGCGGGUCUGAGAGGAUGAUCCGCCACACUGGAACUGAGACACGGUCCAGACUCCUACGGGAGGCAGCAGUGGGGAAUUUUGGACAAUGGGGGCAACCCUGAUCCAGCCAUGCCGCGUGAGUGAAGAAGGCCUUCGGGUUGUAAAGCUCUUUCGGCCGGGAAGAAAUCGCAUAGGCUAAUACCCUGUGUGGAUGACGGUACCGGAAUAAGAAGCACCGGCUAACUACGUG